CCUACGGGUGGCAGCAGUGAGGAAUAUUGGUCAAUGGCCGUAAGGCUGAACCAGCCAAGUAGCGUGAGGGAAGACGGCCCUAUGGGUUGUAAACCUCUUUUAUGCGGGGAUAAAGGUGUCCACGUGUGUCUGUUUGCAGGUACCGCAUGAAUAAGGACCGGCUAAUUCCGUGCCAGCAGCCGCGGUAAUACGGAAGGUCCGGGCGUUAUCCGGGUUUAUUGGGUUUAAAGGGAGCGUAGGCCGGUCUUUAAGCGGGCCGUGAAAUUUUGUGGCUCAACCAUGGGAGUGCGGGGCGAACUGGAGAUCUUGAGUGUGCGUAAGGCAGGAGGAAUUCGUGGUGUAGCGGUGAAAUGCUUAGAUAUCACGAAGAACCCCGAUUGCGAAGGCAGCCUGCCGAAGCGUUACUGACGCUGAAGCGCGAAAGCGUGGGUAUCGAACAGGAUUAGAUACCCUUGUAGUC
This 460-nucleotide ribosomal RNA is filed under the name uncultured bacterium. RNAcentral's name for it is "partial 16S ribosomal RNA". It matches the Rfam family "Bacterial small subunit ribosomal RNA", at positions 338 to 795 of the family's 1533-position model. The record is from RNAcentral.